CAAAGGUUUGGUCCUGACCUUACUAUCAAUUUUAGCUAGAUUUACACAUGCAAGUAUCCGCACCCCUGUGAGAAUGCCCUCAGUUCCCCACCCGGAAACAAGGAGCUGGUAUCAGGCACACCUAACUAGUUAGCCCAAGACACCUUGCUUAGCCACACCCCCAAGGGAGUUCAGCAGUGAUAAACAUUAAGCCAUAAGUGAAAACUUGACUUAGCCAAUGCUAAGAGGGUCGGUAAAACUCGUGCCAGCCACCGCGGUUAUACGAGAGACCCAAAUUGCUAGUUUCCGGCGUAAAGCGUGGUUAGAAUAAGUUCUUACUAAAGCCGAACAUCGUUCAGGGCUGUUAUACGCACCCGAAGGUAAGAAGACCAAUGACGAAAGUAGCUUUAUCCUAUUUGAAUCCACGAAAGCUAUGGCACAAACUGGGAUUAGAUACCCCACUAUGCCUAGCCCUAAACAUUGACAGUAUGCUACAUCUACUGUCCGCCUGGGUACUACGAGCAUCAGCUUGAAACCCAAAGGACUUGGCGGUGCUUUAGAUCCACCUAGAGGAGCCUGUUCUAGAACCGAUAACCCCCGUUCAACCUCACCCUUCCUUGUUUAUCCCGCCUAUAUACCACCGUCGUCAGCUUACCCUGUGAAGGUCUCAUAGUAAGCAAAAUUGGUACAACCCAAAACGUCAGGUCGAGGUGUAGCGCAUGGAGGGGGAAGAAAUGGGCUACAUUCACUAGUACAGUGAAUACGAACGAUGCAUUGAAACAUGCGUCUAAAGGAGGAUUUAGCAGUAAGUAAAAA
RNAcentral lists this ribosomal RNA (795 nucleotides) under Anoplocapros inermis (eastern smooth boxfish). Its description in RNAcentral is "partial 12S ribosomal RNA". It matches the Rfam family "Bacterial small subunit ribosomal RNA", at positions 7 to 1348 of the family's 1533-position model. Lineage: Eukaryota; Metazoa; Chordata; Actinopteri; Tetraodontiformes; Aracanidae. The record is from RNAcentral.